Molecule: ribosomal RNA, 242 nt
Filed under: uncultured bacterium
Lineage: Bacteria
Description: partial 16S ribosomal RNA
Rfam family: Bacterial small subunit ribosomal RNA
Source: RNAcentral
GAUCCUGGUUCAGGAUGAACGCUAGCUACAGGCUUAACACAUGCAAGUCGCGGGGCAGCAUGAAGGAUGCUUGCAUCCUUUGAUGGCGACCGGCGCACGGGUGAGUAACGCGUAUCCAACCUGCCUGUUACCACGGCACAGCCCGUCGAAAGGCGGAUUAAUGCCGUAUGUGGUCCUUUGCGGGCAUCUAAUUAGGACUAAAGGUUCGGCGGUAACGGAUGGGGAUGCGUCCGAUUAGCUAG